RNAcentral lists this non-coding RNA (1012 nucleotides) under Intoshia linei. RNAcentral describes it as "Eukaryotic large subunit ribosomal RNA". It matches the Rfam family "Eukaryotic large subunit ribosomal RNA", at positions 665 to 1691 of the family's 3401-position model. The record is from Rfam by way of RNAcentral. Lineage: Eukaryota; Metazoa; Orthonectida; Rhopaluridae.
ACAAAAGAGUUCAAGUUAUACGCGAGUUAUUCAAAUAAAAACGCGAAUGGCAGAAUUAAUGUAAUUUAGUGUGAGCUCUCAAUGGCGAAACACUGGCCCGUCUUAUAGUAUAUGCUAUUGAAACAAAAACUUAAUUGGUGUCGUAAGGCUAUAGCUUCAGACCUGAAAGAUAGUAAACUAUGCCCGAGUAGACUAAAACCAGCGGAAACACUGGUGGAAACUCGAAGUGAUUCUGAAGUGCCAAUCGAUCACAAAACUUGGUAUAGGAGUUAAAAAAUUAAUCGAACCAUCUAGUAGCUGGUUUUCUCCGAAGUUUCCCUCAGGAUAGCUGGCGCCAUAAGUAGUUGUGUCCGUUAAAGUAAAUAAUUAAGGGAAUUGGUGGUGAAAUGCCGUCAACCUAUUCUCAAACUUUAAAUGGACACGAUACGCGACUCCACUUAAUUGGAGUCGCGGUUAGAAUGCAGGUGCCCAGUGACCCAUUUUUGGUAAGCAGAACAGGCGCUUUGAGAUGAACCCAACGUACGGUUAAGGCGCUCGACAUAACGGUCAUGACAUACCAUAAAAGGCGUUGAUCAAUAUUGAAAGCAAAGCGGUGGCCACGGAAGUCGGAAUCCGCUAAGGAGUGUGUUAUAACUCACUUGCCGAAUCGACUAGCCCUGAAAAUGGAUGGCGCUAGAGCGCUAGGCUUAUACCUCACCGUUACUGUAUAUUGUACGCAUUAAUAAGUAGAAGGACGUUCUGGUAGUAUCGAAGCUACUUGAUUUGAACUUUGAAGGCUGACGUGGAGAAGGGUUCAAUGUGAACAUUAAUUGGACAUGGAUUAGUCGGUCCUAAGCGAUCGAAGAAAUCCGUUCAGAAUGUAUUUAUUUGAUUGACAAGUUUUUGAUUUUGUAAGGAAUUUGAUACUGUGAUGGAAAGGGAAUCAAGUUAAAAACGAACUUUCAACCGAAUCCUUGCUCAGCAAGAUAUGAUAAACCAAAAUUUAGACGAACAUCUUGCCACAACAUUAGUU